Hemicordylus capensis (graceful crag lizard) is the source of this 824-nucleotide long non-coding RNA. RefSeq lists it as uncharacterized. The record is from RefSeq and is a predicted model, not a curated record. Lineage: Eukaryota; Metazoa; Chordata; Lepidosauria; Squamata; Cordylidae. The transcript has 3 exons.
CAGUAUCCCUGGCAACCUUUGGACAAAGAGAGCUCAAGUUAACUGCUGCAGUGCCAUAACAGAUACAACAGGAGACCAUAAAUUAAAUGGCAUUCCUAUCCAGAAGGACUAGAUGACUGCCAUACUCCAAGGGGGAGGAGGUGUGUUACUGGCCCUUUUUUACUCCAGAAUCGCAGAGUGAGAACAGCCAAGAUUACAUAGUUUUCUGGAUCGUCUGCCAACACCAGCCGCUUGCAACCAGAGCUUGGAGACAGCAGGGCUCCCGCCGGUUGUCAGUGGGGGAUAACCACAAUGCACCAUGCACUCACGUGGUGCAUUAUGGGAUUUCCAGGGACCAGGGUGACACAUCCCACCCCCACUGACCCUCUGUACUGCCAGAAGAGGCAGUUGAAUGUUUGGAUGCACAAUCUCUGGGCCCAGACCCAGAAAACCAAUCGCCUGUGGGUGAGCAUUUUCUUCUCUGCCUUCAUUCUUCGCAUGAGUGCCGACUCAUGAUCCAGAGUUAAUUGGAGCAACUUCUUGAUUAUUGCAGUAGCUAAACAGCACGUGGGUGAGCACUGUAGAGAAGUACAACUCUCAUAAACCUGCUUAUUGAUUUUGCUGUUGGCCAGAACAAACGUAAUGAGCCCCUAAGCUUUCUCGUAUGUGGGGAACAUUAUCUGAGGCAGUAUUGCAAAGUAUGUAAAUGAACUUGAAUUCUUCCUUUGUCUCUUGUCUUCUCUGACUUGCUGAUGGAAAGGGAUUUAGGUCACUAUAUAUUUGUCACAAUAUGAAUAAUACUACUUUGAGAAAUCAGAGUAUACAUUGUGUAAGCCCAAAUCCAU